UGGCUCAAUAAUCAAACCUGUUCCCCCUCCUUCAAGACGUUUGGAUCAUGCACUUUCAACUCGUCGUUUGAUUUUGUUCAUCGGGAUGGGAAGGGUUAAGCUAAAGAUAAAGAAGUUAGAGAACACAAAUGGCCGUCAGGUGACCUAUGCCAAAAGGAAACAUGGCAUCAUGAAGAAGGCAAAUGAGCUAUCUAUCCUAUGUGAUAUAGAGAUUAUCCUCCUUAUGUUCUCCCCGACUGGCAAGCCCUCUUUAUGCAGUGGGAAGCGCAGUAGCAUUGAGGAAAUCAUUGCAAAGUUUGCUCAACUCACUCCACAGGAACGGGCAAAAAGGAAGUUGGAAAGCCUUGAAGCACUGAAAAAAACAUUCAAGAAGUUGGACCAUGAUGUAAAUGUUCAUGAAUUUCUGGGUACAAGUACACAAACAAUAGAGGACCUGACUAACCAAGCAAGGUUAUUGCAGACUCAGCUUUCUGAAAUACACAGGAGACUGAGCUGUUGGACUAACCUAGACAAGAUCAACAAUGUAGAACAUUUGGGGCAAGUGGAAGAUACACUCAAGGAAUAUCUAAAUCAAAUUCAAGCCCAUAAGGAAACUUUAGGAAAGCAACAGCUUCUAUCAUUAGAAUGCACAAGUCAGUUCCAAAAUGAAAUGCAUGUACCCUUUAGAAUGGGCGCUGAGCAACAGCUGCAACCUCUCGCAUGGAUACCUAAUAAUGACAGUAGACACAUGGCCUUACCCGAGGACCCAAAUUUGAUUACCCACAGGGAUGUGGAGUGCUCUGCAAGUUCUUCUUUUGGAAGUUAUUCCGGUUACUUUGGCACUGCUAAAAGUUCUGAACUGUCUAGUUCUGGACAAGAAAAUGGCAUACUCAACGAUUUGAGUGGUAAUCCAUCAUUACAGCUGCAACUGGGUGGACAAUACCCCUACUUGUCAUAUAAUCUCAAUAUACUUAAUGAUGCCAAAUUCCCACCGGUGGCAGAGAUGAACUUUCAGGAAACUCCUGCAGAUUAUAAUGUUAAUGGAGUCCUAGAAGGUCCUAGAGCUGGAUAUGACACAACCCAAGGUAGUUGGGCUUCCACCUCUGGGCCAUGUGCUGUUACUAUGUUUGAUGAGCCUUUGUAUUCGCGAGUAAGUAUUUCCCCAUUACUCCCACUAUGCUUUUGAUUUCUAUAGCAGCGUUUCAUGUUUCACCGACUGUUUUUCUGUAACUUCAAAAUGAUUGAGCAAUCUAUUGGUAAAUAUGUGACUCUGUGUGCAUGCAAAUAUAUGUGAACAAUAUUGGAAUUAUCACAAUAUUGCUCUAGAAUAAUAUAUAGGCUGUAAGCUUGUAUUAAUUUUCUUCAUUCAAAGAAAAUUUAUGGAAAAAAGAAGGAUUGUAUCCAAGUAUGCUUUUGCUUACUGUAAAUCUAUCUUCUAUGUCAACGUUUAUUCUCCUAGGAUGACAAGAAGAGUACAUGGGAUUUUUGCUAGAUGGCAAGCAACUAAACUGAGAUUCAGGAAGAGUGAUGCUACCAUUCCAUCCCAUCCAACUGAGCAGGCUAUGGAGAACCUGGUAAUGUGCAUGUGAAAAAAUUUACCCAAUCCACGGAAAUUUGUCUACUUGUCUCAAAAACGGUUUUCACUGCCAUGCAAAAACUUGGAAUCAGCCAAUGAGAUGUAUAGCACGACUACAACAACAUAGGAAUUUGCCUUUUAAUAGUGAUGAACCUCAGAAUUGAGUGGUGCUGAUUCCCUAUCAAAUGAGGCACCACAUGACCUGUUAUAAUUUCUGUAUACAACAAAUCAUAUUUUAGUACUAGGUUUUCCUGACCUAUUUUUGCCUUCACCUUUUGAUUUACAGACAGGCUACUUACUGCCUUCCCCUCCUCCCUGUCAAUUUUUUAGCUGUAAAUAAAACACAUGUAGCAGAAGACAUUGAUUGUAAAUCAAAACAAACAAACAAAAAAAAAAAUACUAUUAUUUUGGUUU
This is a non-coding RNA of Theobroma cacao (cacao), 1969 nucleotides long. The record is from RefSeq and is a predicted model, not a curated record. Lineage: Eukaryota; Viridiplantae; Streptophyta; Magnoliopsida; Malvales; Malvaceae.